RNAcentral lists this ribosomal RNA (422 nucleotides) under Escherichia coli. RNAcentral's name for it is "partial 23S ribosomal RNA". It matches the Rfam family "Bacterial large subunit ribosomal RNA", at positions 99 to 561 of the family's 2925-position model. The record is from RNAcentral. Lineage: Bacteria; Pseudomonadati; Pseudomonadota; Gammaproteobacteria; Enterobacterales; Enterobacteriaceae.
UAUAACCGGCGAUUUCCGAAUGGGGAAACCCAGUGUGAUUCGUCACACUAUCAUUAACUGAAUCCAUAGGUUAAUGAGGCGAACCGGGGGAACUGAAACAUCUAAGUACCCCGAGGAAAAGAAAUCAACCGAGAUUCCCCCAGUAGCGGCGAGCGAACGGGGAGCAGCCCAGAGCCUGAAUCAGUGUGUGUGUUAGUGGAAGCGUCUGGAAAGGCGCGCGAUACAGGGUGACAGCCCCGUACACAAAAAUGCACAUGCUGUGAGCUCGAUGAGUAGGGCGGGACACGUGGUAUCCUGUCUGAAUAUGGGGGGACCAUCCUCCAAGGCUAAAUACUCCUGACUGACCGAUAGUGAACCAGUACCGUGAGGGAAAGGCGAAAAGAACCCCGGCGAGGGGAGUGAAAAAGAACCUGAAACCGUGU